AAACGGCUGCACUGUGGUAGACUGCACUUUUUGGGAUUGCUUUGUUUUAUUUGGCAUGGAGGGGGCUGCUGUGCAGCGAGGGGUGGGCAGGGGAAGGGAGCUGCUGAUUCACUGCAGCUGUUUAAACAACCCAAUCACCUCAUUCUCUCCUUUCCUUCCGAAAGCCCCACUCAGCAUUUUAAGGCCAGCCUGGGCUCCUGCUUGCUUUUGUUCUCCUGCCUCUGAAGGCUGUGGCAGCAGCAGAAGCAUGUUCUUGGCUUGUGUUUUCUGGAGCCAGGAUCCGCCCCUAGAUCCUGCAGCAACCAAAGCCUGGACCCAGAAUACACAUACAACACCAGCACUCCUGCUCACCUCACCCAGGCUUUCAUGGGCUCUAAUUCAGCAGCUGAAUGCAGACUAAGUUUAUGGCAAUAUCUGUGUUGGUUAUUGCUGGGGAAAUAGAAAGGUGAUCAGAGAGGACACCUCAGCAAAAACUCCUAGGAUUAAUCACAGUGCACCAGGAACAUUCCUGUCUUUUCCUGAGAAAAGGUUUAGCAGAAUAAUUUAAAUUUUGGUUUGGAAGCAAAAUAAAUUCUCAGGACCAGCAAGGGAAGUCAGCCUUCUGCAGGUAAUGCAAGAAGACUUGGCCUGCCAAAGGCUGGGGACUCUACACAUUUUUAUAAUCAACAUCUCCUGAGACCAAGAGGUAGUUUUGGUAUGUACAGUGUGGAGACACGCAGUGUGGAGCCCUAACCUAGAAGUCCAGGGAGGCAAACAAAAGGACUCAGAGAUAAAGUUUGGUAUGCACAGGACAAGUAAGAGCAGGGAUUGAGACUUAUUUACACAGUUCCUGUGUUCCUAUGAGGUAAAUUAUGUGACCUUAGGUUUGGUAGCUAUUAGGAAGAGUUGGGUAAUUUUGAGGCAUGAAAAAAAAAAGGAUUAAAUGAAUACAGAAGGCAUUCUGUGGUGUGGAGCACACAGAAAACAACCACAGCAUAUUUACAGAAACUCCAGUCUAGCAGAUCAUGUGCAGGGACUGGAUGGAGACAAAACACUAUCAAGAGAUGCUAAAAUGAGACUUCCUACGUGCGACUGUGGUUUGCGACUCACUUUCUCAAGUACUUGGCGUCUUUCCUUAUUGACAUGAGAAGGAAUGCAUGUAGAAGCUGAGCUCUGCAUGGGAAACUAGCGCAUAGCUUUGGGGCCUGGAAGAAUGCAGUUAUGUGCUGGAACCAAUCUCACACAUGGAAGACCUCUGGGAAGGAAGGCAGAAGCCAGGGAACAGUGGGAACAUGCUCAGCACUGCCUCUCCCUAAGGACUGCUGUCUGGAAUUUAAGUGACCAUUUUUCAAUAAAUUGUAAACUUUCCUUGUGGAUGAGAGUAGCAGCUAUUGUUUACCUUGAGCACAGAAAUGUUUUUGACACAGCCUCCCAUAAUACCUUUGUAGUCAAACUAGAGACAUUUUAAUUUGAAUAGGUGGACUCUGAAGUACGUAGAAAACAGGAUGUACCUCCAGGCUCAAAGGGUUGUGAGCGUUGCUACAUAUUUCAGCUGAUGCCUGAUAACUAGUGGUCCCUAAGGACCAAUACCGGGGAUAAUACUUUUUAAUGUCAAGUAUUGUCUAUGCUCAUGAUCUGGAUUUGGGGACAGAGUGCACCUUAGCAAGUUUGUGGGUAGUGCCAGACCUGGAAAAAGCAGUCAGUAUGCAAGAAGAUAGAGCUGUUAUGCAAACAGACACCAACAGGCCAGAAAAUGGUUUGAGGGAAACCUGAUGGGAUUUCAAGAAAGACAAAUUUGAAGUCCUGCAAAGGACAUAGCAGAAUCCCAUGCAGUAGUUGUGAGUACCUGGAGUGCCGUGUCUGUCUGGGGACCCCAGCACAA
Molecule: non-coding RNA, 1861 nt
Organism: Anas platyrhynchos (mallard)
Lineage: Eukaryota; Metazoa; Chordata; Aves; Anseriformes; Anatidae
Source: RefSeq, a predicted model, not a curated record